Molecule: ribosomal RNA, 2933 nt
Filed under: Escherichia coli
Lineage: Bacteria; Pseudomonadati; Pseudomonadota; Gammaproteobacteria; Enterobacterales; Enterobacteriaceae
Description: bacterial LSU rRNA
Rfam family: Bacterial large subunit ribosomal RNA
Source: RNAcentral
GGGUUGUGAGGUUAAGCGACUAAGCGUACACGGUGGAUGCCCUGGCAGUCAGAGGCGAUGAAGGACGUGCUAAUCUGCGAUAAGCGUCGGUAAGGUGAUAUGAACCGUUAUAACCGGCGAUUUCCGAAUGGGGAAACCCAGUGUGUUUCGACACACUAUCAUUAACUGAAUCCAUAGGUUAAUGAGGCGAACCGGGGGAACUGAAACAUCUAAGUACCCCGAGGAAAAGAAAUCAACCGAGAUUCCCCCAGUAGCGGCGAGCGAACGGGGAGCAGCCCAGAGCCUGAAUCAGUAUGUGUGUUAGUGGAAGCGUCUGGAAAGGCGCGCGAUACAGGGUGACAGCCCCGUACACAAAAAUGCACAUAUUGUGAGCUCGAUGAGUAGGGCGGGACACGUGGUAUCCUGUCUGAAUAUGGGGGGACCAUCCUCCAAGGCUAAAUACUCCUGACUGACCGAUAGUGAACCAGUACCGUGAGGGAAAGGCGAAAAGAACCCCGGCGAGGGGAGUGAAAAAGAACCUGAAACCGUGUACGUACAAGCAGUGGGAGCACGCUUAGGCGUGUGACUGCGUACCUUUUGUAUAAUGGGUCAGCGACUUAUAUUCUGUAGCAAGGUUAACCGAAUAGGGGAGCCGAAGGGAAACCGAGUCUUAACUGGGCGUUAAGUUGCAGGGUAUAGACCCGAAACCCGGUGAUCUAGCCAUGGGCAGGUUGAAGGUUGGGUAACACUAACUGGAGGACCGAACCGACUAAUGUUGAAAAAUUAGCGGAUGACUUGUGGCUGGGGGUGAAAGGCCAAUCAAACCGGGAGAUAGCUGGUUCUCCCCGAAAGCUAUUUAGGUAGCGCCUCGUGAAUUCAUCUCCGGGGGUAGAGCACUGUUUCGGCAAGGGGGUCAUCCCGACUUACCAACCCGAUGCAAACUGCGAAUACCGGAGAAUGUUAUCACGGGAGACACACGGCGGGUGCUAACGUCCGUCGUGAAGAGGGAAACAACCCAGACCGCCAGCUAAGGUCCCAAAGUCAUGGUUAAGUGGGAAACGAUGUGGGAAGGCCCAGACAGCCAGGAUGUUGGCUUAGAAGCAGCCAUCAUUUAAAGAAAGCGUAAUAGCUCACUGGUCGAGUCGGCCUGCGCGGAAGAUGUAACGGGGCUAAACCAUGCACCGAAGCUGCGGCAGCGACGCUGAUGCGUUGUUGGGUAGGGGAGCGUUCUGUAAGCCUGUGAAGGUGUGCUGUGAGGCAUGCUGGAGGUAUCAGAAGUGCGAAUGCUGACAUAAGUAACGAUAAAGCGGGUGAAAAGCCCGCUCGCCGGAAGACCAAGGGUUCCUGUCCAACGUUAAUCGGAGCAGGGUGAGUCGACCCCUAAGGCGAGGCCGAAAGGCGUAGUCGAUGGGAAACAGGUUAAUAUUCCUGUACUUGGUGUUACUGCGAAGGGGGGACGGAGAAGGCUAUGUUGGCCGGGCGACGGUUGUCCCGGUUUAAGCGUGUAGGCUGGUUUUCCAGGCAAAUCCGGAAAAUCAAGGCUGAGGCGUGAUGACGAGGCACUACGGUGCUGAAGCAACAAAUGCCCUGCUUCCAGGAAAAGCCUCUAAGCAUCAGGUAACAUCAAAUCGUACCCCAAACCGACACAGGUGGUCAGGUAGAGAAUACCAAGGCGCUUGAGAGAACUCGGGUGAAGGAACUAGGCAAAAUGGUGCCGUAACUUCGGGAGAAGGCACGCUGAUAUGUAGGUGAAGUCCCUCGCGGAUGGAGCUGAAAUCAGUCGAAGAUACCAGCUGGCUGCAACUGUUUAUUAAAAACACAGCACUGUGCAAACACGAAAGUGGACGUAUACGGUGUGACGCCUGCCCGGUGCCGGAAGGUUAAUUGAUGGGGUUAGCCGCAAGGCGAAGCUCUUGAUCGAAGCCCCGGUAAACGGCGGCCGUAACUAUAACGGUCCUAAGGUAGCGAAAUUCCUUGUCGGGUAAGUUCCGACCUGCACGAAUGGCGUAAUGAUGGCCAGGCUGUCUCCACCCGAGACUCAGUGAAAUUGAACUCGCUGUGAAGAUGCAGUGUACCCGCGGCAAGACGGAAAGACCCCGUGAACCUUUACUAUAGCUUGACACUGAACAUUGAGCCUUGAUGUGUAGGAUAGGUGGGAGGCUUUGAAGUGUGGACGCCAGUCUGCAUGGAGCCGACCUUGAAAUACCACCCUUUAAUGUUUGAUGUUCUAACGUUGACCCGUAAUCCGGGUUGCGGACAGUGUCUGGUGGGUAGUUUGACUGGGGCGGUCUCCUCCUAAAGAGUAACGGAGGAGCACGAAGGUUGGCUAAUCCUGGUCGGACAUCAGGAGGUUAGUGCAAUGGCAUAAGCCAGCUUGACUGCGAGCGUGACGGCGCGAGCAGGUGCGAAAGCAGGUCAUAGUGAUCCGGUGGUUCUGAAUGGAAGGGCCAUCGCUCAACGGAUAAAAGGUACUCCGGGGAUAACAGGCUGAUACCGCCCAAGAGUUCAUAUCGACGGCGGUGUUUGGCACCUCGAUGUCGGCUCAUCACAUCCUGGGGCUGAAGUAGGUCCCAAGGGUAUGGCUGUUCGCCAUUUAAAGUGGUACGCGAGCUGGGUUUAGAACGUCGUGAGACAGUUCGGUCCCUAUCUGCCGUGGGCGCUGGAGAACUGAGGGGGGCUGCUCCUAGUACGAGAGGACCGGAGUGGACGCAUCACUGGUGUUCGGGUUGUCAUGCCAAUGGCACUGCCCGGUAGCUAAAUGCGGAAGAGAUAAGUGCUGAAAGCAUCUAAGCACGAAACUUGCCCCGAGAUGAGUUCUCCCUGACUCCUUGAGAGUCCUGAAGGAACGUUGAAGACGACGACGUUGAUAGGCCGGGUGUGUAAGCGCAGCGAUGCGUUGAGCUAACCGGUACUAAUGAACCGUGAGGCUUAACCUUACAACGCCGAAGGUGUUU